This 84-nucleotide transfer RNA is filed under the name Sutterella seckii. It matches the Rfam family "tRNA". From Rfam's summary of the family: Transfer RNA (tRNA) molecules are approximately 80 nucleotides in length. Their secondary structure includes four short double-helical elements and three loops (D, anti-codon, and T loops). Further hydrogen bonds mediate the characteristic L-shaped molecular structure. tRNAs have two regions of fundamental functional importance: the anti-codon, which is responsible for specific mRNA codon recognition, and the 3' end, to which the tRNAs corresponding amino acid is attached (by aminoacyl-tRNA synthetases). tRNAs cope with the degeneracy of the genetic code in two manners: having more than one tRNA (with a specific anti-codon) for a particular amino acid; and 'wobble' base-pairing, i.e. permitting non-standard base-pairing at the 3rd anti-codon position. Lineage: Bacteria; Pseudomonadati; Pseudomonadota; Betaproteobacteria; Burkholderiales; Sutterellaceae. The record is from RNAcentral. RNAcentral also lists the same sequence under 2 other names.
GAAGGAUGGCAGAGUGGUUGAAUGCACCGGUCUUGAAAACCGGCGAAGCUAAUAACUUCCGUGGGUUCGAAUCCCACUCCUUCC